GUACUACUCCCUCAGUCCGAAAAAGCUUGUCCCAAGUUUGUCUUUCAAGUGGAUGUAUCUAGCACUACCUUGGUGCUAGAUACAUCCAUUUGAGGGACAAGCUAUUUCGGACAGAGUGAGUACAUA
This is a non-coding RNA of Triticum aestivum (bread wheat), 126 nucleotides long. Lineage: Eukaryota; Viridiplantae; Streptophyta; Magnoliopsida; Poales; Poaceae. The record is from Rfam.